This 274-nucleotide ribosomal RNA is filed under the name uncultured bacterium. RNAcentral describes it as "partial 16S ribosomal RNA". It matches the Rfam family "Bacterial small subunit ribosomal RNA", at positions 523 to 796 of the family's 1533-position model. The record is from RNAcentral.
AUACGGAGGGUGCAAGCGUUGUUCGGAAUUACUGGGCGUAAAGCGCGCGUAGGUGGUCUGUUAUGUCAGAUGUGAAAGUCCACGGCUCAACCAUGGAAGUGCAUUUGAAACUGGCAGACUUGAGUACUGGAGGGGGUGGUGGAAUUCCCGGUGUAGAGGUGAAAUUCGUAGAUAUCGGGAGGAAUACCGGUGGCGAAGGCGACCACCUGGCCAGAUACUGACGCUGAGGUGCGAACGCGUGGGGAGCAAACAGGAUUAGAAACCCCAGUAGUCC